Molecule: small RNA, 28 nt
Filed under: Bombyx mori (domestic silkworm)
Lineage: Eukaryota; Metazoa; Arthropoda; Insecta; Lepidoptera; Bombycidae
Description: ovarian small RNA-28445
Source: RNAcentral
UCGAUAUGAUUCUCAAAAGACUGUUGCC